This is a long non-coding RNA of Dryobates pubescens (Downy woodpecker), 686 nucleotides long. RefSeq lists it as uncharacterized. The transcript has 3 exons. The record is from RefSeq and is a predicted model, not a curated record. Lineage: Eukaryota; Metazoa; Chordata; Aves; Piciformes; Picidae.
UAGGUGGGCUGGGGGUGAUGGGUAACUCCUUGAGUGCUUCCAGGCAGCGCUGCAGCACUUUGGCUGGAUGCGGGCAGGAUCGGUGCCAGGCAUGUCCCGCUCUGCGCAGCAUCAGCCCGUGAGGGGCCAAGAGAAACGGCACAGCCCUUCCUAGAAAUGCGCUCGGGAGCUUAAAAGAAUGGACCUAAUUGAAAAAAAACACCACCCCGGGGUUGUACCAGGGGAUAAAAGGGAAAGCUGGGCUGAGAUUAACCUGGAGCUCAGCGAGCCGAGCCGCGCGGCGCCCGUGGCCAGGUCCCUAAGCCAGUGCCCAGCCUCGACCUCCCGCUGAAUCCAUGCCCGGCAGGAAGGAGGUUUGCUCUGGAUGCAGGUCUGGCAGGAGAGCCCGGCACGCUCUGGGGUUGUGCUUCAGCACCAGAGGUGAGGACUGGCAGCAGGGCUGGAAAACUGGAUCCUGCUAAGAGGAUGAAAACAUGGGACUCAAGUUAUCCUGCCUGAAAGGCUUGAAGAUGUGUGUGAGCAGCGGGAACAGCAGCGACAGGACCUCAGGGACGUCCCAGAGUGACAAGCACCUGCCUGUGCCUGCCAUCAUCGUCACGCCACCCACGCCGACAGGGACCAUGCUGGCCCGUGAGGCUCGGCGGGUCGAGGGGCCACCGCCGUGCAGCCAGUGCUGAGCAUGGGGA